RNAcentral lists this ribosomal RNA (1085 nucleotides) under uncultured bacterium. Its description in RNAcentral is "bacterial SSU rRNA". It matches the Rfam family "Bacterial small subunit ribosomal RNA", at positions 8 to 1104 of the family's 1533-position model. The record is from RNAcentral.
AGAGUUUGAUCCUGGCUCAGCGCGAACGUUGGCGGCGCGCCUAACACAUGCAAGUCGUGGGGCAGCAGGCUACUACCUUCGGGUAGUAGUGCUGGCGACCGGCAAACGGGUGAGUAACGCGUAGCUUACCUACCCCAAGGUUGGGGAUAACCACCCGAAAGGGUGGCUAAUACCCAAUAAUGAGGAGACUCCAAAGCCCAAAAGGCGCCUUGGGAUGGGGCUGCGUCCCAUCAGCUAGUUGGUGAGGUAAUGGCUCACCAAGGCUACGACGGGUAACCGGUCUGAGAGGAUGAUCGGUCACAGCGGGACUGAGACACGGCCCGCACCCCUACGGGGGGCAGCAGUGGGGAAUAUUGGGCAAUGGCCGAAAGGCUGACCCAGCGACGCCGCGUGGUGGAUGAAGCCCUUCGGGGUGUAAACACCUUUUCUGGGGGAAGAUAAUGACGGUACCCCAGGAAUAAGGGACGGCUAACUACGUGCCAGCAGCCGCGGUAAUACGUAGGUCCCAAACGUUGCGCGAAAUUACUGGGCGUAAAGGGUCCGUAGGCGGUCUGGUAAGUGGAAGGUGAAAUCCUACGGCUCAACCGUAGAAUUGCCUUCCAAACUGCUGGACUUGAGGCAGGGAGAGGUCGGCGGAAUUCCCGGUGUAGCGGUGAAAUGCGUAGAUAUCGGGAGGAACACCAGUGGCGAAGGCGGCCGACUGGAACUGUCCUGACGCUGAGGGACGAAAGCUAGGGGAGCAAACCGGAUUAGAUACCCGGGUAGUCCUAGCCGUAAACGAUGGAUGCUAGAUGUGGUCUACGAAAGUAGGCCGUAUCGCAAGCUAACGCGUUAAGCAUCCCGCCUGGGGAGUACGGCCGCAAGGUUGAAACUCAAGGGAAUUGACGGGGACCCGCACAACCGGUGGAGCGUCUGGUUUAAUUCGAUGCUAACCGAAAAACCUUACCAGGGCUUGACAUGCGGUGUGUCGGGUAUGAAAGUACCCUAGGCUAUGAUUAUUCAUAGCCGCGCCGCACAGGUGGUGCAUGGUCGUCGUCAGCUCGUGUCGUGAGAUUUUGGGUUAAGUCCCGCAACGAGCGCAACCC